AAAAUGUAAGUGCCAUUACUUUGAGAAGUGGGAAAGAGCUUCAAGAUGCAAAAUUUGAGGAGGAAAAGCAAGUUGAACCAAAGCAUGCAUCAUCUGAGACACCCUCUGCACAACAUCCAAGGCAAUCUGAAGCCUCUUCAUCACAUUCUGCACCACCUCCUGCGCAAAGAGCUGACCCGAAGGUAAGUUUUCACAUCCCACCUCCUUUUCCAAAAAGAUUUGAAAGAACUCAAAAAGAAAAAGAAGAAAAGGAGAUCCUUGA
This 262-nucleotide long non-coding RNA is filed under the name Manihot esculenta (cassava). RNAcentral's name for it is "long non-coding RNA (MESC_LNC006079)". Lineage: Eukaryota; Viridiplantae; Streptophyta; Magnoliopsida; Malpighiales; Euphorbiaceae. The record is from RNAcentral.